Molecule: ribosomal RNA, 665 nt
Filed under: uncultured bacterium
Lineage: Bacteria
Description: bacterial SSU rRNA
Rfam family: Bacterial small subunit ribosomal RNA
Source: RNAcentral
CGCUAUAAUGCAGUCGAACGGGCCUGAUUUCGGUCAGGCUAGUGGCGGACGGGUGAGUAACACGUGGGUGAUCUACCCCAAAGUCUGGGACAACUAGGGGAAACCUUAGCUAAUCCCGGAUGGUGAGGCUUCUCCUGUGAAGUCUCUAAAGAUUUAUCGCUUUGGGAUGAGCCCGCGGCGCAUCAGCUAGUUGGUGGGGUAAUGGCCUACCAAGGCGACGACGCGUAGCUGGUCUGAGAGGACGACCAGCCACAGGAGCACUGAGACACGGGCUCCACUCCUACGGGAGGCAGCAGUUAGGAAUCUUCGUCAAUGGGCGAAAGCCUGAACGAGCGACGCCGCUUGAGGGACGAAGCCCUUCGGGGUGUAAACCUCUGAACAGGGGACGAUGAUGACGGUACCCUGCUAAUAGCACCGGCUAACUCCGUGCCAGCAGCCGCGGUAAUACGGAGGGUGCGAGCGUUACCCGGAUUUACUGGGCGUAAAGGGCGUGUAGGCGGUUUUCUAAGUCCGGGGCUAAAGACCAGGGCUCAACCCUGGGUUUGCCUUGGAUACUGGAAAGCUCGACGGCUGGAGGGGGCAGCGGAAUUUCCGGAGUAGCGGUGAAAUGCGCAGAUACCGGAAGGAACGCCAAUAGCGAAGGCAGCUGCCUGGACAGUACGUGA